RNAcentral lists this ribosomal RNA (253 nucleotides) under uncultured bacterium. Its description in RNAcentral is "partial 16S ribosomal RNA". It matches the Rfam family "Bacterial small subunit ribosomal RNA", at positions 524 to 776 of the family's 1533-position model. The record is from RNAcentral.
UACGUAGGGCGCAAGCGUUGUCCGGAAUCAUUGGGCGUAAAGAGCUCGUAGGCGGUCUGUCGCGUCCGUUGUGAAAACUCGAGGCUCAACCUCGGGCUUGCAGUGGAUACGGGCGGACUAGAGUGCGGUAGGGGAGACUGGAAUUCCUGGUGUAGCGGUGGAAUGCGCAGAUAUCAGGAGGAACACCGAUGGCGAAGGCAGGUCUCUGGGCCGCAACUGACGCUGAGGAGCGAAAGCAUGGGGAGCGAACAGG